GUAGGGAAUAUUCCGCAAUGGGCGAAAGCCUGACGGAGCGACGCCGCGUGUGCGAUGAAGGCCUUCGGGUUGUAAAGCACUGUCGAGAGGGAAGAACGGUACGGGGGCGAAUAGUCCUCGUACUUGACGGUACCUCUGGAGGAAGCCCCGGCUAAUUACGUGCCAGCAGCCGCGGUAAUACGUAAGGGGCGAGCGUUGUCCGGAAUCACUGGGCGUAAAGCGUACGUAGGCGGUCGAACAAGUCAGGGGUGAAAGCUGUGGGCUUAACCCACAAACUGCCUCUGAAACUGUUCGACUCGAGUCUUGCAGGGGAAAGUGGAAUUCAUGGUGUAGCGGUGAAAUGCGUAGAUAUCAUGGAGAACACCCGUGGCGAAGGCGGCUUUCUGGGCAAAGACUGACGCUGAGGUACGAAAGCUAGGGGAGCGAACAGGAUUAGAAACCCCGGUAGUCC
Molecule: ribosomal RNA, 451 nt
Filed under: uncultured bacterium
Lineage: Bacteria
Description: bacterial SSU rRNA
Rfam family: Bacterial small subunit ribosomal RNA
Source: RNAcentral